CCCAUAGAUGUCCUGGGCCGCACGCGCGCUACACUGAACGGAUCAGCGCGUUUUCCCUUCCCGAGAGGGACGGGUAACCUGCUGAACCCCGUUCGUGGUAGGGAUCGGGGCUUGCAAUUAUUCCCCGUGAACCAGGAAUGCCCAGUAAGUGCAAGUCAUAAGCUUGCGUUGAUUACGUCCCUGCCCUUUGUACACACCGCCCGUCGCUACUACCGAUUGAACGUUUUAGUGAGGUACUCGGACUGAGCCUCAGAAGAUUCACGUCUUUUGUGCUGCUCGGGAAGAUUCCCAAACUUGAGCGUUUAGAGGAAGUAAAAGUCGUANCA
RNAcentral lists this ribosomal RNA (326 nucleotides) under uncultured eukaryote. RNAcentral's name for it is "partial 18S ribosomal RNA". It matches the Rfam family "Eukaryotic small subunit ribosomal RNA", at positions 1470 to 1796 of the family's 1831-position model. The record is from RNAcentral.